Molecule: ribosomal RNA, 449 nt
Filed under: uncultured bacterium
Lineage: Bacteria
Description: SSU rRNA
Rfam family: Bacterial small subunit ribosomal RNA
Source: RNAcentral
AGAACGAACGCUGGCGGCACGCCUAACACAUGCAAGUCGAGCGCCCAGCAAUGGGAGCGGCGGACGGGUGAGUAACACGUGGGAAUAUGCCUUUCGGUACGGAACAACUCAGGGAAACUUGAGCUAAUGCCGUAUACGCCCUUACGGGGAAAGAUUUAUCGCCGAAAGAUUAGCCCGCGUCUGAUUAGCUAGUUGGUGAGGUAAUGGCUCACCAAGGCUUCGAUCAGUAGCUGGUUUGAGAGAACGACCAGCCACACUGGGACUGAGACACGGCCCAGACUCCUACGGGAGGCAGCAGUGGGGAAUAUUGCACAAUGGGCGAAAGCCUGAUGCAGCGACGCCGCGUGAGGGAUGACGGCCUUCGGGUUGUAAACCUCUUUCAGCAGGGACGAAGCGAAAGUGACGGUACCUGCAGAAGAAGCACCGGCCAACUACGUGCCAGCAGCCGC